CUUGGUCAUUUAGAGGAAGUAAAAGUCGUAACAAGGUUUCCGUAGCUCAAGUCUACGAAGAACAGCAAUGUUCCUUCCGCAGAGUACACUUGCAGAAGCCUUAGUGGCCCGAAAGGGUUUCAUCAGCGACUCUAAACAAGUAGGUGAAUUAAAUGCUAGUCUCUUUAGAAGAGGCAACACUAUCAAAUUGCGGGAAGAUCCUGUCAGGUCCACAUCACCGCGGCUCACCGAAAGGUGUAGUGCAGCACCAGGCUAACAACCUUGGGUAUGGUAAUAGUAUGUGGAAUAGGGAGAAUCUGCAGCCAAGCCCCUCUCUUGGGGUGCAGUUCACAGGCCAAAUGGUAGUGGGCACUCUGGUGCUUAAGAUAUGGUCGAGUCCCAAUUGAAAAGUUGGGUACAAGUACUCUGAUUGAUUACAUGCAGUCCAUGCUCGUUGUAAAUGCAAAUGUUCCGUAGGUGAACCUGC
Molecule: ribosomal RNA, 466 nt
Filed under: uncultured Sebacinales
Lineage: Eukaryota; Fungi; Basidiomycota; Agaricomycetes; Sebacinales
Description: partial 18S ribosomal RNA
Rfam family: Group I catalytic intron (bases 110-395)
About the family: Group I catalytic introns are large self-splicing ribozymes.
Source: RNAcentral